CGAUCUAAGUUCAUUCUUCCAAGAUUGGUUGAAAAAUUUAAGGAGUUGGAAGAAGGAUUAGCAUUUUAUGAAAAUAACCACAACAACUUGAUGGAGAUUGAAGGCAAACGGUACUUUCACAUUACUUGGGCACAAAUUCAACAAAGAAUUGGAAGAUAACAAUACAUUAUACCAGAAACUAAAGGUAAUAUAUUCUUGUUU
Molecule: long non-coding RNA, 201 nt
Filed under: Nicotiana benthamiana
Lineage: Eukaryota; Viridiplantae; Streptophyta; Magnoliopsida; Solanales; Solanaceae
Description: long non-coding RNA (NBEN_LNC018426)
Source: RNAcentral